UACGGAGGAUCCAAGCGUUAUCCGGAGUGACUGGGCGUAAAGAGUUGCGUAGGUGGUUAUGUAAGUGAAUAGUGAAACCUGGUGGCUCAACCAUACAGACUAUUAUUCAAACUGCAUAACUCGAGAAUGGUAGAGGUAGCUGGAAUUUCUAGUGUAGGAGUGAAAUCCGUAGAUAUUAGAAGGAACACCAAUGGCGUAGGCAGGCUACUGGACCAUUUCUGACACUAAGGCACGAAAGCGUGGGGAGCGAACCGG
Molecule: ribosomal RNA, 255 nt
Filed under: uncultured bacterium
Lineage: Bacteria
Description: partial 16S ribosomal RNA
Rfam family: Bacterial small subunit ribosomal RNA
Source: RNAcentral